AUGAACGCUGGCGGCGUGCCUAAUACAUGCAAGUCGAGCGAACAGACGAGGAGCUUGCUCCUCUGACGUUAGCGGCGGACGGGUGAGUAACACGUGGAUAACCUACCUAUAAGACUGGGAUAACUUCGGGAAACCGGAGCUAAUACCGGAUAAUAUAUUGAACCGCAUGGUUCAAUAGUGAAAGACGGUUUUGCUGUCACUUAUAGAUGGAUCCGCGCCGCAUUAGCUAGUUGGUAAGGUAACGGCUUACCAAGGCAACGAUGCGUAGCCGACCUGAGAGGGUGAUCGGCCACACUGGAACUGAGACACGGUCCAGACUCCUACGGGAGGCAGCAGUAGGGAAUCUUCCGCAAUGGGCGAAAGCCUGACGGAGCAACGCCGCGUGAGUGAUGAAGGUCUUCGGAUCGUAAAACUCUGUUAUUAGGGAAGAACAAAUGUAUAAGUAACUAUGCACGUCUUGACGGUACCUAAUCAGAAAGCCACGGCUAACUACGUG
This 496-nucleotide ribosomal RNA is filed under the name uncultured bacterium. Its description in RNAcentral is "partial 16S ribosomal RNA". It matches the Rfam family "Bacterial small subunit ribosomal RNA", at positions 29 to 507 of the family's 1533-position model. The record is from RNAcentral.